AUGGAAUACUUGGAGGUGUACUGCAGGAAGGUGGACGAUGCCAAUCAGACCAGGGUCAAGCAGCAGCAGUCUGUGGCCACUAAAGAAGCUGAGGUUGAUAUGUUAGUGGCUACUCUAGGGGAGCACAAGUUGUAUCUCAAGGAUGCUUUUGUCAAUUUCUCGGCACUUGCGCAUAAAGACAAGAGCUACGUGUCGCUCAAGGAACAAGUUGCCGCUGUUGUUCCUGUGCUUGACGAUCUGAAAUGCAAGACAGAAGAAAGGAUCAAGUAUUACGAUAUUCAAUCACAGAUUGAGAAGAUAUGCUCUAUAAGUUAA
RNAcentral lists this ribosomal RNA (315 nucleotides) under Triticum aestivum (bread wheat). RNAcentral's name for it is "partial small subunit ribosomal RNA". The record is from RNAcentral. Lineage: Eukaryota; Viridiplantae; Streptophyta; Magnoliopsida; Poales; Poaceae.